GAACAAGGGCCAAACCACCUCAUCGUGGGAA
This 31-nucleotide non-coding RNA is filed under the name Macaca fascicularis (crab-eating macaque). Lineage: Eukaryota; Metazoa; Chordata; Mammalia; Primates; Cercopithecidae. The record is from RNAcentral. RNAcentral also lists the same sequence under 1 other name.